RNAcentral lists this ribosomal RNA (253 nucleotides) under uncultured bacterium. RNAcentral describes it as "partial 16S ribosomal RNA". It matches the Rfam family "Bacterial small subunit ribosomal RNA", at positions 524 to 776 of the family's 1533-position model. The record is from RNAcentral.
UACGAAGGGGGCUAGCGUUGUUCGGAAUUACUGGGCGUAAAGCGCGCGCAGGCGGUCUUCCAAGUCAGUGGUGGAAGCCCGGAGCUCAACUCCGGAAUUGCCAUUGAAACUGUUAGACUUGAGGAUGAGAGAGGUGAGUGGAAUUCCCAGUGUAGAGGUGAAAUUCGUAGAUAUUGGGAAGAACACCGGUGGCGAAGGCGGCUCACUGGCUCAGUACUGACGCUCAGGCGCGAUAGCGUGGGGAGCAAACAGG